RNAcentral lists this long non-coding RNA (467 nucleotides) under Pelobates cultripes (western spadefoot toad). Lineage: Eukaryota; Metazoa; Chordata; Amphibia; Anura; Pelobatidae. The record is from RNAcentral.
UGAGAUGGGUAAAAGGAGUGUUUGGAGUUUGGUGGAGAAGUGCUGGAGAUUGAGGGAGUUGAGGUUUCUAUGAGGUUGGAGAGUUGAUGGUGGUAAAAUUUUGGUAUGGGGUAUGCAGAUGUUAAAUGUUAGCAGAUGGUGGUCAGAUAAAGGAAAUGGAAAAGUGGCGAGAUCAGAGGUGGUACAGAAAUUAGUGAAGAUGAGGUCAAGAGUGUUUCCUGCAGUGUGAGUUGCUGAGGAAGAAAUCUGUGUGAGUCCAAAGGAGGAGGUUACAGAGAGCAGACGAGGGGCAUCAGGGCAGUUGAGCUUGUUGAUAGGGAUAUUGAAGUCCCCAAGUAUGAGAGAGGGAGUGCUAGAGGAAAGAAAGUGGGGUAAACAGGAGGAAAGGUGUUCAAGAAAUAGUUUAGGGUGACUGGGGGGGGGCGAUAGAUGAUGGCAAUUCUUAAAGGUGUGGGCUUAAAAAGGCG